CUUAGAAGCAGCCAUCAUUUAAAGAAAGCGUAAUAGCUCACUGGUCGAGUCGGCCUGCGCGGAAGAUGUAACGGGGCUAAACCAUGCACCGAAGCUGCGGCAGCGACACUAUGUGUUGUUGGGUAGGGGAGCGUUCUGUAAGCCUGCGAAGGUGACCUGUGAGGGUUGCUGGAGGUAUCAGAAGUGCGAAUGCUGACAUAAGUAACGAUAAAGCGGGUGAAAAGCCCGCUCGCCGGAAGACCAAGGGUUCCUGUCCAACGUUAAUCGGGGCAGGGUGAGUCGACCCCUAAGGCGAGGCCGAAAGGCGUAGUCGAUGGGAA
Molecule: ribosomal RNA, 320 nt
Filed under: Klebsiella pneumoniae
Lineage: Bacteria; Pseudomonadati; Pseudomonadota; Gammaproteobacteria; Enterobacterales; Enterobacteriaceae
Description: bacterial LSU rRNA
Rfam family: Bacterial large subunit ribosomal RNA
Source: RNAcentral